UAAAAGGGUUUUUUUAAAUUUGGGGAAAUUUUUUUCCCCUGGCCUUUUGGGGGUUUUAAAAAAAAUUUUUCCUUUUUUUGGGGAAAUUUUUGGGGGGAAAAAAAAAAAAGGAAAAUUUUUAAAAAAAAAUUUUUUAAUUUUUCGGGGGGGGCCCCCCCCCCCGGGGGGGGCCCCCCA
Molecule: non-coding RNA, 177 nt
Organism: Cherax quadricarinatus
Lineage: Eukaryota; Metazoa; Arthropoda; Malacostraca; Decapoda; Parastacidae
Source: RefSeq, a predicted model, not a curated record